RNAcentral lists this ribosomal RNA (235 nucleotides) under uncultured bacterium. RNAcentral describes it as "partial 16S ribosomal RNA". It matches the Rfam family "Bacterial small subunit ribosomal RNA", at positions 536 to 769 of the family's 1533-position model. The record is from RNAcentral.
GAGCGUUGUCCGGAAUUAUUGGGUCGUAAAGCGCGUGUAGGCGGUUUCUUAAGUCUGAUGUGAAAGCCCCGGGCUCAACCUGGGAAGUGCAUUGGAAACUGGGGGACUUGAGUACGGGAGAGGGUAGUGGAAUUCCUAGUGUAGGAGUGAAAUCCGUAGAUAUUAGGAGGAACACCGGUGGCGAAGGCGGCUACCUGGACCGAUACUGACGCUGAGACGCGAAAGCGUGGGGAGC